RNA transcript from Ruditapes philippinarum (Manila clam), 5285 nucleotides. It is a transcript of the gene named centrosomal protein 15 kDa-like, with no coding region annotated. Lineage: Eukaryota; Metazoa; Mollusca; Bivalvia; Venerida; Veneridae. The transcript has 5 exons. The record is from RefSeq and is a predicted model, not a curated record.
AAAGGACGGAAUUUAGUGCAAACUACUAAAGUAAGUACAAUAGCGUCGUAAACAACCAACUAUUUUUGGUAGUUUUGCAACAAUUUAGAAGAAUGCAAUGACUGAAAAGGGAAAAGGUACAGUAAGAAGUGAGGUGGAUAUAUGUUUGUCACAAUGGACAGCAAGGGAAAUGCAGCUUGUACGUCUACACGAGGAAAUAUUAUCAAGAAGAGAGGCAUUGAUGAACUGUUCCCUAGCAUAUAGUCAGAGCCAGAAUAAUAUGACAUUAACAGGUACACUUACCACAGAACAGGCAUUUAUCAGAAAUCAGAAAUUACUCAAGGAUAUAAAAGUUGCAAAAGAAGAUGUAUAUGAGUCUCUGAAUGCAGCACCAACUCCAAGAUUUAUGACUCUUCAGAAGAACUACUGGUCUAUGGUCAAAAGCCAGGUACCAAUGUGGGAACAAGAUAUUGGAAUAGAGAGGCCAACUAAAGAAAGGACUACUACACCUAGAGCUAGUGGAACCAGGGCUAAAACCACCCACAGCACAUCUGCAGGUAAAAAAUCCUCUGUCGGAGUACAGCCCAAGAAGAAACACACAAAAAAACAGCUUGAUGCCAGACAAAAAUCAGCAAAAUCGAAAUAGCAUUACUAUCUAUAGCUAAAUGGCAGUUCCAUUAUUUAUGAGUGUCUUAUGAAAUGUUUCAAAAAGUACAGUAACGUCCUGCCAAACUGACUGACCAGUGUCAUAUCACUUAAGGGUGCGAUAUAUAACUAUUAAGUGAUUGACAAUUUAUGAUGAAUGCAAAAGAUAAUAUGUCAAGAUUUAGACUGAAAAAAAGAGAGAGCAUUGUUGAAAUGCAUGCCUCCUUUUCUGAAUGUUCAGGGUUAAUUGAGAAUCAGAUAUAGAGAUACUGAUGUGAGUUGUACCCAUCUAAUUGUGGGGGGUACAAUGAAACUUUCACUGUAGGGCUGUCAUUGAUGGAAAAGUUUGUAUCGAUAUAUCAAGGGACAAAUGUCAACGAUAUAUUGAUAUACUGAUUUUGACAGUAGAUACAAUGAAAAAAAUUUUAAUAUGUGUUAUAAAUUGGGAUCAUGGUGCUAUGCAUGCUUGUAUUAGACAUUACAAAUACUACAAACUAACAGAUAGUUUGUUUUUUCUGUUAUUUUUGUCACUGACAGUUGAAAACACUUGAGUUUAAACUUCAGGGUAGCCAAGAAAACUGACAAAAAGUGAGUUCUCUUAUUUGCCAUAAUAGAGAGGUAUAUUCACUAACAGAAAUAAAUAAAUUUUAGCUUGUAUCAAUAUUUAAAAGUGUGUAUUGAUAUUGUAUAGGAUGAUGAAUAUCAGUCGUAUAUCAAUGUUGCGAUAUUCAAUGACAGCCCUAUUUAAAGGCUAUUUUACAGUUACAAAUUAGUAAAUAUACCCGUUAUAAGAUCAACAAGGUGAUGAUGAUUACUCUUUUGUGAACAGUAUUGCACCAUCAAACUAUAAUGGUAAAAGUUUGUUUGUACCCCGAUAUUAGAUGGGACAAAGAUGGUACACAGAAAAAAAUAAAUCCCAAGAAAUAGCGUAAAUGUUUUCUAUAUACAUUUGAUUAUUAAUAUUCACCCUUUUGUUCACCAGUAUAUUAGUCACAAAAUGUUUUUAUUGUUAUCUUUUAUGAGAAUCAUUCACUUUUAACAUUAAUUUAUAUUGAUGAUAUUGUCAAAGUGUAAAAUAGAUUUCCUUAAGUUUGAUCAUCACUAAGAAGGCUUAUGUCUUAAAUCUUUUUUAUAUUUUUUUUUCAUACCUGUUUUUUUUUUGGUAACCAAUUGUGUAACCUGUUCUGUUAUUGAUUUGUUAUUGUCAUUUCAUUGAACCAUCAUUUUUUGCCCUUCACAUUCUCUUUGUUAUACAUUUUUUCCUUUUCUUCAAUCUAAAGAUAUAUUAUGCUCAUGCUGGAGUGAAAUAUUUUAAUCACAGAAACUGUUUGAAAUUUAUGAAAUUCUUACUGAAUAUGUCUUACUUCAAUAAAAAGAAUGAAUAAACUAUGUAUGGGAAGGUGUAUUUCCUAUUACAGGUCAAUAAAAUUGGUGUUUUCUCGACAACAAAAAAACCCAAAAACAACUGCCAGUUUUUUUAAUGACACUAUAUAUUCAUUUUGUGACCACCUAUAGUGUUUAGAGUUUUAGACAAAACAUAUCUUCCAAACAUGUUUAUUUUAUAUUUACAAAGAGACUGUGUUGCAAUUACAAAUACUGUCUUAUUAUCAAAUUUGAGCAUAGUAUAUCUUUAAGAAUCACAUAUUAAAGGUUUUUGUGGUGCUAAAAGCCUAGACUGAUGUAACACAUUCCACUGUCCCUCUUAAACAGAGUCAGUUACAACAAGGCUGUGAUUUUCACAUUUCUGUAUGUGGUCUUAUAGUCUUGGAGGGAUUUCACCUUUUCAAAAAGUUUUACACUGACAUCACUUGCUUGCCUUUUAGUCUAUACCUCAAGUUAUAGUGGAAUAUAAUUGUUGUUUUGUGUAUGUUUGAUUGUAUCGUUAUUUUGUUAUUGUUUUUAUUCACUUUUUUAUUUCUAUUCCUUUUAAUGCAUUCAGAGCUUCUAUUUUUUCUUUAAAGAAUCUUGAAACAAAUUUAAACUAAAAAGUGACUUUUGUACUGUUGUUGAUUUAUAAUUGUAAUAUUAUAUUCUAAUAUAACAUAUUUACAUAUAUAUAAAGUUACACACUUUAGUAUCUUUUUUUAACAUAUUGAAGGGCCUUAAAGUUAAAAAUGACAUGUAAAUGCCAAAGGUCUGUCAGUUAAAUGUCACUGUUACAGAGUCAGGUCUGUCAAGUAAAUGUCACAGUUAGAGUGCCAGGUCUGCUACGUAAAUGUCACAGUUAGAGUGCCAGGUCUGCCACGUAAAUGCCACAUUUACAGAGUCAGGUCUGCUACGUAAAUGUCACAGUUACAGAGCCAGUUCUGCCAGGUAAAUGCCACAUUUACAGAGUCAGGUCUGCCAGGUAAAUGUCACAUUUAUAGAGUCAGGUCUGCCAGGGAAAUGUCACAUUUACAGAGUCAGGUCUGCCAGGUAAAUGUUACAGUUACAGAGUCAGGUCUGCCAGGUAAAUGUCACAUUUAUAGAGUCAGGUCUGCCAGGGAAAUGUCACAUUUACAGAGUCAGGUCUGCCAGGUAAAUGUCACAUUAACAGAGUCAGGUCUGCCAUGUAAAUGUCAAACAGUCAGUCAGAUUUGCGAGAUAAAUGUCACAUUUACAGAGUCACAAUUACAGACUCAGGUCUGUCAUAUAAAUGACACAGUUACAGUGUCAGGUCUGCCAGGUAAAUGUCACAGUUAUAGAGUCAAGUCUGUCAGGUAAAUGUCACAUUUACAGAGUCAGGUCUGUCAUGUAAAUGUCACAGUUACAGAGCCAGGUCUGCCAGGUAAAUGUCACAGUUACAGAGCCAGGUCUGCCAGGUAAAUGUCACAGUUACAGAGCCAGGUCUGCCAGGUAAAUGUCACAGUUAUAGAGUCAAGUCUGUCAGGUAAAUGUCACAGUUAUAGAGUCAAGUCUGUCAGGUAAAUGUCACAUUUACAGAGACAGGUCUUCCAUGUAAAUGUCGCAGUUAUAGAGUUAGGUCUGUUAGGUAAAUGUCACAGUUACAGAGUCAGGUCUGCCAGAACAUUAAGUAUUUAACAUUGAAAUCAUUUGUGGGACAAGUUCUACAGAAAUCAGAGGGUGAAAGGCUAUUAAAACAGUAUUUAAGCACAUUAGUCUCUUAGCUUUUUUAUCACUACAUUUUUACCGAAUCUUGUUGCUUUAUUUAGAACUUUUAUUUAAGAUAAUGUAUCUAGACGUUACUGUUUGUUAUUGUUUUUAUUCUGCAAUAUUUAACCAGAAAUAUCUGUGUGUGUUUUUCUGCAAUAUUUAACCAGAAAUUGUAUAUGUACUCAGUAUAAAUAUUUCUCAAAUCUUAUAUUGUAAUUGUAUAGCUAUGUAAAAUGUAAUGUUAUCUUAGUUAAACACAUUCCAAGAACAUAUUCUAGCAUAACACCAUUACAUAACACCAAAAGUAUAAGAUAACAACACUACAUAACUAAGCAUGACAACAUUACAUAAUUCAACAUUACAACUCUUCAUAACUUAAAAUUACAACACUACAUUCAACAUAAAACAGAACUACAUAACAUAGCCACAUAACAUAGCACUUCCUACAUGUAGGAUAACAUAACAACAUAUACAAGUACAUAAUUCAACAUAGCAUGACUAUAUAGCAUAGCAACAUAACAUAUAGCAUAAAAAGCAUAACAUAGCAACAUAUAUGAUUCAUAAUAAUAUAGCUACAGUAUAUAACAAAGGUACAAAGCAAUUAAAAGAUAAGAUAAAAACUGUUGUUUUGAUAAUUCUCACUUUUUAUAUUUGAAAAUAAUGAUUUCUGUACAUGGGAACACUAAGAAUUCAUUUACCCUAUUAUAUAUGCAUAUUACCUAAUUUUUAUCACCCAGAUGAUGUUAUAUGGUAUUGCAUUCAAAUGUACAUUUGCACCAGUUACAUUGCAGAUUGAUCAUUUCACAGUAAAAAUGAGCAAUGACAAAACCAACAUAGUGUGUUUGUGACCAGCAUGGAUCCGGACCAGCCUGCGCUCCUUGUAAUAGGGUUUGUAAGCAAACAGCAUGGAUCCUGAUCAGACUGUGCGGAUGGGCAGGCUAGUCUAAACUGCGCAGUCUGGUCUGGAUCCAUGCUGGUUGCAAACGCACUAUGUUGCUUUUGGUUUUGUCAUGGCGAGGCUAUUUUUCAUUUUUAAGUAAUCUAAGGAAUAACUUGUUAAAAAAAUCUACAUUUAUCAUUGAAAUCAUGUCAUCAAAGGUUCAUAGUAUAUAAGAUUUCUCAGGAUGUUUGAUUAUAAACUGUAAUGAAAUGGGAGACUUAUUCUAGAAACGACUUUAAAUUGUUUACAAGUGUGUGCAUUGUUCCAUGUACAGUAAUAUACUGCAGAGAUUUAAUGUUUUUGAGGGAAAUGUAUGUUUAUUUCCCAUGUACAGUUUAAAGAGAUUUGAUGUUUUUGAAAUUAGAUUUUGUUACAACGUUGCAAUGUAUACUUAUAGAUAACAAAUAGUUUCAAAUUGGAAAUGGAAUGUAGCAAAUGUUUUAGAAUUAGCCACCGCUCAGAAGUUUCUAUAAUUUUUGCCAUACGACCCUGCCUGUGGAGAAAGGAAUAUACUCAAAUAUAUACAUGUAUAAAAAAUCAUGAUGUACUCUAUACAUGCACAUAUUGUUGUUGUUAAUCAAUGUAUAUACAUGUCUGUUAUUGAAGAUAUGUGCAAUAAAAAAGCUAU